UGGGAUAGCUCAGCUGGUAGAGCAUGAGACGCUUAAUCUCAGGAUUGUGGGUUCAAGCCCCACACUGGGCAAAA
RNAcentral lists this transfer RNA (74 nucleotides) under Podarcis lilfordi (Lilford's wall lizard). Its description in RNAcentral is "tRNA.Lys". The stretch from base 6 to 63 matches the Rfam family "tRNA", at positions 8 to 63 of the family's 71-position model. Rfam says of the family: Transfer RNA (tRNA) molecules are approximately 80 nucleotides in length. Their secondary structure includes four short double-helical elements and three loops (D, anti-codon, and T loops). Further hydrogen bonds mediate the characteristic L-shaped molecular structure. tRNAs have two regions of fundamental functional importance: the anti-codon, which is responsible for specific mRNA codon recognition, and the 3' end, to which the tRNAs corresponding amino acid is attached (by aminoacyl-tRNA synthetases). tRNAs cope with the degeneracy of the genetic code in two manners: having more than one tRNA (with a specific anti-codon) for a particular amino acid; and 'wobble' base-pairing, i.e. permitting non-standard base-pairing at the 3rd anti-codon position. The record is from RNAcentral. Lineage: Eukaryota; Metazoa; Chordata; Lepidosauria; Squamata; Lacertidae.